RNAcentral lists this unclassified non-coding RNA (439 nucleotides) under Hevea brasiliensis (rubber tree). Lineage: Eukaryota; Viridiplantae; Streptophyta; Magnoliopsida; Malpighiales; Euphorbiaceae. The record is from RNAcentral.
GAGAAAUUCAUCACUAGUAUGUGUUCCCAUAAUGGCUGAUUCGGCUGAUUUGAUGAUUGCUGAUGCAUGUAAGGCAAAAACUAGUGGUGCUGAUCUUGUGGAGAUUCGAUUGGAUAGUUUGAAGAUUUUCAACCUGCAAACAGAUCUCAAGACUCUUAUAAAAGAGUGCCCAUUGCCUACUCUAUUUACUUACAGACCUAAGUGGGAAGGUGGCCAAUAUGAUGGUGAUGAAAAUGAACGGCUUGAGGUACUUCGAUUAGCCAUGGAGUUGGGAGCUGAUUAUGUUGAUGUGGAACUUCAGGUUGCUCGUGAAUUCAUUGAUUCCAUUCGUGGCAAGAAGCCAGAAAAGUUCAAAGUAAUUGUUUCAUCUCACAAUUAUCAAGAAACUCCAUCUCUAGAUGAACUUGGUAAGCUUGUCGCAAGAAUUCAAGAAAGUGGA